AAAAACUCACGUCAGAAGAAUUAUGUCGUGACUCCAACUGAUCGAUAAGAUGUCUGUUUUAAGACGGUCGAGAGGUUGAGCUUUUUUAAUCAAUCCAUUCAUUCAUCUUUGCCUGGAUUUUGCUUGUUGUCAUGGAGGUGGCGAGGACAAGUUUAGGCAUUAUUUUGCCAUUAGUCUCUCAUUAUUUUUAUUAUAAGUGUUUACGGACUACGUCUUCUUAACGUACCGAGUUCCCACGCUACUCUGACAUCGCCUCAGCCGCCGGCGCUUCCUGCUCAUUGACGGGGCGGUUACUAAAUCAAGUCCGUGGUUUAGCGUUGAGGCCUUGAAAAAGCUCUCGCUUUUUGCAGGUAUUUUUGUUUUUCACUCGUGCUGUUUGCAAAUAAAUCUUCCCUCUGUACGUUUUUUGGAUCCUGUCACCAAUUGUUCACGUCUGUGCUGCACCAUCCUUUUCUGUUCUUGUAGUGUGAAGAUUAACUGCCUCCUUCGGUUUAUUUCGGAAGACGGACUUUUCUAACGUUGUUCAUCAGGAGUGCAAGAGGAUGCUUCAGGUUCCCUUGCCCCUUGAUCGUGAACCCAGUCCGUUCAGACUGAGGUUUACUGUCUUCGCAGUUGGCACUGUCUGUCUGCCUCUCUUUGGGUUUUUGUCCUGUGUUUUUGUUUCACUGUGCUUUCAUUUUAAAGAAUCAACGGCUACUCAUUGUGGUGUGCCAAAUUAUUUACCCUCCAUUAGUGCAGCUAUAGGAGGGGAAACCCCAGAAAGAUACAUCUGGCGCUUUUGCAUUGGUUUGCACUCUGCUCCACGCUUUCUGUUGUCAGUGACAUAUUGGAAUCAUUAUCGUUUUUUGUCACUUGAAAGACGUUAUCAGCUGUUCUGCCAUGUCAACCUGGUAUUGAGUAUCUUAGAAAAUCUAGGACUUCUGAUAUUAACGUAUGUUUCUUCAGCAGAAAAUUACGUUAUCCAUAAAUAUGCCUUCAUCCUCUUCAUGCUUUCUGCUCUGAGUUAUAUGGGACUUACUUGCAAGCUUUGGCGAAUGGCUAAGAAAAAUACAGUAAGUUCAGAGGCCCUGACCUCCUAUACAUGGAAGAAUCGCCUUUUCAUGAUCAAUUUGACUUUUUUUUUGCUUUCCCUUGUGUCCUUUGUUAGACACAACAGCUACUGUGAGCCAGGAGUGAUGACAACACAAGUGAAAUUGAGCCAUACUGACCAUUACCAAGUAACCGCAGUGCUGGUGCUUACGUCGAUAACGACCUUCUCGGCCUUCAGACUGCAUGCAGAAGUGAUCGAAAUAGGUAAUUUACAAUGAAAAGGCCCAGUUGUAAGUGGCAAUAAAGAUGGAGCUCCUCUUGCAGAGCAGCAAGGACGAUUUUACCAGAGAGAAAGAAGACUGAAAUAUUAGCCUUUACAUUAAAGAAAAUGGAGUAAUAAACUGAGAAAAACGGAAUCGGAGAAGUCAUCCUGUGCAAUUAGAGAAACGGCAGCUUUUCCAAGAGUGGAUCAUGACAGCAACAGGCACAAAGUUGGAACCUAGAUAAUAUAUCAAUGUGUUGCAAAGCACAUACUUUCUCACUGGACAAACUGUGAGCCCCCAGAGUGUCUAACAACACAUCAAAGGCCUGGAAGGAAGACAUAGGCACCAAAAAACUGGUAACCCAUAAAAUUAAAAUAAAUCAUGCAGGAACUAAAUGGCGAAUACAAUAUGUACAAUAAAGAUACAACAGGGAUCAAAAUACUCUAAAUUAUGAUGCUGUGAGUAUUAUGUCUCCUUCAUCUUUGACAAAACACACACAAUCCCACAACAACAAUAAUGACCCUGUAAACAAUUGCCGUGACAGAACAGAUAUUUUUGGCAUAUUGAUGACAUUCUCCAAUUGAAAUAAUUGGAAUGGUUACUAGUUAGGAAUUAAGUCUACUUCUGACACAUGAUACAAAAGAAAGUACAACAAUGCAGUGCUUGUUAAAUGUUUCGCUUGCAGAUCACCAGCAAGCUGCAAAAUGUAAAUUAAUAUAAACAUUCCCUUUCUUUAUGGGAGUCCUGAUGAUCAAAAACAAUGUUAAGAAAAAUUAAUUAUUUUUUUAUUGUGGCAAGUCUUCCAAACCAUCCAUCUAAUCUCUGGACUCACUUUCUUAAACACUAAAGUUAUGGAGUAAAGGAGGCAGAGCCUGUUGUAGCAGCAUUAGCUACAAAUCAGGAACCAAUAAAGGGCAGGACACCAGUCUACUACUGGGCAAAUGAACCUGACCUGUAUGUAUCUGAAAUCAAAACUGGAACACCAGAGGAAAAAAAUAUGAAAACAUGCAAAUUACACAAAGAUAAUGACAAAGCCAAGAUUCAAAUCCAGUCUGUGUGAGCUGUAAGGAAGCGACACUGCUGUUAAAAUUAGUUCAUAUGUAAAUGAAAACUAUAAGGAAUUCAUUCAAAUUUCCUUGAAGCUACUGAAUACCCUAUUGCAGAAUACAAAGUUUCCUGAGUGACCCUGAGAAUCAUUUUAUUUAGUGUACACUGCUAUUAAUGUUAAGAUGUGUGACACUGUGGAUGUUUUGCAUGCUUUACUUUAAUUUCAUGUUAUUAAGCAACACCGAUACAAAAUAAGUUGUGUAAAGAGAUUAGAGUUCAUGAAUGUAUUAAUAGUUACCUGCUUCAAUAUGAAUCAGUUUGGAGUAAUGUACUGAUUUUCCUGCAACAAUUACUUAAUCCUUUUUAUUAAAUAUUAGUAACACUGCAUAAAAGAAUAACACAUUUUUUGUAUUUGCCUACCACAAAAGAAAUCUGAAAAAUAUCUUAUUCUACAAGAUUAAAAUAAGUAAAAUAAAAUUAACAAAAACAGAACAUAAUAUGGUUAUUAGAAUGAAAUGUGUCAGAAGGGUGAAUUUCAUAUUACUUUUGGUAAAAGAGUUACCUUUGUUAUUAUUUGACUAACACUUAUCCAAGGUGACUUUUGAGAUAAAACUGGCUACAUUUCUUUUAUUCUUCCACUUGAUGUUCAUGGCCACACAGUGUUAGAAACAGGAUUUGAAACCACAACACCUUAGAGUCUGUGGUCCGGCGCUUUAACCACAAUGCCACACUGCCUGCCUGACAAAGCCUCUGACAAAAUAUCACAAAGCAUUUAACAGCAAUUUUUUUUUUAACCAGUGAUGCUAUGGUCACUGGGUUUGACUUGUCCCAGUCAUUGUUUUCUGUGGAGUUUGCCUUUUCUUGUGCCCGUGUGUUUUUUCUAUUUCCUCAGAUAUAUGCUGGUCAUGUGACAGAAUGGCAUCUCUUUUUGGUUAUUUCAUGCUUUGUGUCCAAUGCUGCCAGGACUAAGCAGAUUGGUAAAAUUGAUUAAAUAAUGUAAGAAAACAUCACAAAUAUUUUGUCAACAUUUCUGCAUGAAAAUUUAAAGGCUUCAAAAUUUUAAAAUGAACUUAAAAAUGCAUUUGCUUUGUUAAUGAAAACACUUUAUGGCCUAAGGGCGAUUCACUGUUGUUCAGAUGUGCAAUAAAUGUAGACAAGUGGUUUCUAUGUAAAUAUCACCAUCUCUGCCACAACAGUUAUUAGUUACUCAAGGAAAUAACUGUAAUAUUAAUGUUCCUGAGGGUGUUCAACAAAUUCAUGAGAUAAUAGUGUUUGCAUUGAUCGUUCACACUGCAUUAAGCAAGUCUUAGAAUUUUAUGUAUGUUUGUUUGGGUUUGCCUGAUAAGGUAGAAGACUAUUGAUGCCAAAAUGAAAUUCAAUCCUACAUGUUAUCUCCGUACAUUGUAAUCCAUGGUGCAUUUAAUAUUGGCACGUUUUCAUCUUGUUAUAAUGAAAAAACCUAUUAACCAUAUGAUCGAUUACUUUUCACUAUGGCACACAAUUCUCUUGUCAAUUUAAAAUGCAAUACAAAGCAUUUUAAUGUACUUCCACAGAUUGCAUUUCAUAAUUAAAAGCAAAGCAAACGUAUUGCAUUUUGCUUACCGUCUUCUCUGAGUGUACUGCAUAUCGAUUAAAGACCACAUAUUAAUUAAUGCCAAAACUAAUCAAAUAGCCAGUCAGUGUCAAAAUGUGGGGCAACAGUCAACAGUUUGGGUAAGUGGUGUUCACCUUCUAAACAUUUCUAUGUUCUGGCGCAAAGUGGAAUGAUUAAACAAAACUGUGAGAAGUAUGUUUUAGGUCUUGCUGAAAAAGUUUACUUUUAAGUUGCUUAACUAAUGUGUUAUGAUUGUCUUGUAUCAUAAUACUUAUAUAUUAUUAUCAGUCCUGACUGAUAUGUCAAGAAGUACGGCCUCUUACCACACCUAUAUUCUACCCUUGCAGACCCCUAGGCGAUAAAGUGUUUUCACUAAUAAAGCAAAUACAUUUUUAUGUUUAAGUUAAUAAUUUAGGUUUCAAAGCCUUGGAAUUUUCAUGCAAAGGUUUUGGUAAAAUAUUUUUUUAUCUUUUCUUGCAUUAUUUUACCAAUUAUGUUAAUUCACUUAUUCUUUGUUUUAUUCAAUUACUCCACAUUAACAAAAUGUUUCCUUACUGCCAGAGCACAGAAAUGUUUAGAAGAACGACGCCUCUUACAUCAACAUUUGACACCCCUUACCCCAGCUUUUUACACUGAUUGACCAUUUGAUAGUAUUCACUUUUGGCAUGAUUAAUGUGUGGUCUGCAAUCGAUAUGUAAUAAACUCGGAGAAACCACUAAGCAAAAUGCAAUCCAUGUACUUUGCUAUCAGUUAUAGCUGUCAUUUAUGAUAUGUGAUCUAUGGACAUGAAUUAAAAUGUAAAACACCUUUUAUUGCAUUAGUGAAAAGCAGUUAAACAUUUGUAUGAUAUGUUUUUAGUUACACCAUAAAACUGUGCCAAAAUGAACUGCAUUGCAAUGUAGUUAACACGCUGGAUUGCGUUUAAUUUUGUCGUGGAUAAUCUUCCAUAGUGAUAAUGUA
Polypterus senegalus (gray bichir) is the source of this 4893-nucleotide RNA transcript. It is a transcript of the gene named post-GPI attachment to proteins 2, with no coding region annotated. The transcript is spliced from 9 exons. Lineage: Eukaryota; Metazoa; Chordata; Cladistia; Polypteriformes; Polypteridae. The record is from RefSeq and is a predicted model, not a curated record.